UAAGUAGUCAGAGUUAAAGAAGUGUGUCAAGUCUUCAAAUUGUUGCUAACCUCUGUUGUUUUCUCCAGGUCUUUUUAAUUGGACAGCUUUGUCGCUGAUAAGCUAACUGAGUGGCGGAUGUCUGAGCUGAUUUUAGAGGUGAAGAUGAGGAGGCAUUUCUUCUCUUAGAUGAGGACACUAUCAAAACUCUUGUCCCUCAAGUUCAAUCCAGUUAUUGAAUGUUGUCAAAUGUUUGAGAGAGAAUGAGUUGUUUUUCUAUUUUUUCUAAUGUCUAAUGUUAUUACAGUGUGACCUAAGAUAAAUAGGUCUAAGUGUGUAGAGUUUAUGUAAAGUUUAAUUUAAUUUAAUGCAAUAAAAAAUGUAAAAGUG
Long non-coding RNA from Megalobrama amblycephala (Wuchang bream), 369 nucleotides. RefSeq lists it as uncharacterized. Lineage: Eukaryota; Metazoa; Chordata; Actinopteri; Cypriniformes; Xenocyprididae. The transcript has 2 exons. The record is from RefSeq and is a predicted model, not a curated record.